This 253-nucleotide ribosomal RNA is filed under the name uncultured bacterium. RNAcentral's name for it is "partial 16S ribosomal RNA". It matches the Rfam family "Bacterial small subunit ribosomal RNA", at positions 524 to 776 of the family's 1533-position model. The record is from RNAcentral.
GACGAACCGUGCGAACGUUGUUCGGAAUCACUGGGCGUAAAGCGCACGUAGGCGGAUGUGUCAGUCAGGGGUGAAAUCCCGGGGCUCAACCUCGGAACUGCCUUUGAUACAGCACGUCUUGAGUCCGAUAGAGGUGGGUGGAAUUCCUGGUGUAGCGGUGAAAUGCGCAGAUAUCAGGAGGAACACCGGUGGCGAAGGCGGGUCUCUGGGCAAUAACUGACGCUGAGGAGCGAAAGCGUGGGGAGCGAACAGG